CUCAGCCUUUGAAGCUGGGCGGGAGGGGCUUGGCCCAGGCUGCAAGACACAGAGCUUCCCUUUUCUUUUGUAGUGGCUCUUCCUGCACAGCAGAGGGUAUCUCAAAAGGCUGAUGAAAACCUCAAGAGAGGAAUGGGAAGCCUUCUAAACCAUGCCUGUCUUCCCUGUUAUCAGGCAUGUCCCUUGCCAGUUUGUGGUGCUGAGCUGUCUUCCUCAGCAUUUGCUUUCAUCUUCUCGUUCUCCCUCCCGCCUUCCUAAUCCCCUUUCACAAGUCAAGCCAGGAGCUGCAGUCUCUAAUUUGCAGAGGCGACAGACAGGGUCUUGCUGUCUAGCUAAAGCUGUGCUGUACUCAUGAUCCGUGUAUUUCAGCCUCCCUGGUUCUGGGAUUACAAGCAGGUAUUACUGUUCCUGGCUUUUCUUGUAUCUUUAUAGUUGUUGUAUUUUCUUAGCAUGAUACAAUUUAUUUUUUUCUUCUUUGAUGGGUUCAAUGAACCUUUGCACUUUCCUCCAUUUUCUGUUUUCUCAUGGCUGUCAAAACUUAUGGUAUGAUUUCAAUAUAUUAAUUUUGUGG
RNAcentral lists this long non-coding RNA (571 nucleotides) under Cricetulus griseus (Chinese hamster). Its description in RNAcentral is "lncRNA (ENSCGRG00015031284.1)". Lineage: Eukaryota; Metazoa; Chordata; Mammalia; Rodentia; Cricetidae. The record is from RNAcentral.